GUGGGGAAUAUUCCGCAAUGGACGAAAGUCUGACGGAGCAACGCCGCGUGAGUGAUGAAGGUUUUCGGACUGUAAAGCUCUGUUGUUUAGGACGAAAGUGCCUGUUGCGAACAGUUACAGGUAUUGACGGUACUGAACGAGGAAGCCACGGCUAACUACGUGCCAGCAGCCGCGGUAAUACGUAGGUGGCAAGCGUUGUCCGGAAUUAUUGGGCGUAAAGAGCAUGUAGGCGGGAAUCUAAGUCUGUUGUGAAAAUGCGGGGCUCAACCCCGUAUGGCGAUUGAAACUGGAUUUCUUGAGUGCAGGAGAGGAAAGGGGAAUUCCCAGUGUAGCGGUGAAAUGCGUAGAUAUUGGGAGGAACACCAGUGGCGAAGGCGCCUUUCUGGACUGUGUCUGACGCUGAGAUGCGAAAGCCAGGGUAGCGAACGGGAUUAGAUACCCCGGUAGUCC
RNAcentral lists this ribosomal RNA (450 nucleotides) under uncultured bacterium. RNAcentral describes it as "partial 16S ribosomal RNA". It matches the Rfam family "Bacterial small subunit ribosomal RNA", at positions 354 to 796 of the family's 1533-position model. The record is from RNAcentral.